Molecule: ribosomal RNA, 226 nt
Filed under: uncultured bacterium
Lineage: Bacteria
Description: partial 16S ribosomal RNA
Rfam family: Bacterial small subunit ribosomal RNA
Source: RNAcentral
GCGUUGCUCGGAAUUACUGGGCGUAAAGGGCGCGUAGGCGGACAUUUAAGUCGGGGGUGAAAGCCCGGGGCUCAACCUCGGAAUUGCCUUCGAUGCUGGCUGUCUUGAGUACGGGAGAGGUGUGUGGAACUCCGAGUGUAGAGGUGGAAUGCGUAGACAUUCGGAAGAACACCAGUGGCGAAGGCGACAAGCGGGCCCGUUACUGACGCUGAGGCGCGAAAGCGUG